This 253-nucleotide ribosomal RNA is filed under the name uncultured bacterium. RNAcentral's name for it is "partial 16S ribosomal RNA". It matches the Rfam family "Bacterial small subunit ribosomal RNA", at positions 524 to 776 of the family's 1533-position model. The record is from RNAcentral.
UACGGGGGGGGCAAGCGUUGUUCGGAAUUACUGGGCGUAAAGGGCUCGUAGGCGGCCAACUAAGUCAGACGUGAAAUCCCUCGGCUUAACCGGGGAACUGCGUCUGAUACUGGUUGGCUUGAAUCCGGGAGAGGGAUGUGGAAUUCCAGGUGUAGCGGUGAAAUGCGUAGAUAUCUGGAGGAACACCGGUGGCGAAGGCGGCAUCCUGGACCGGUAUUGACGCUGAGGAGCGAAAGCGUGGGGAGCGAACAGG